Molecule: non-coding RNA, 610 nt
Organism: Myodes glareolus (Bank vole)
Lineage: Eukaryota; Metazoa; Chordata; Mammalia; Rodentia; Cricetidae
Source: RefSeq, a predicted model, not a curated record
CAGUGAGGACAUCGUGAGGAAGACCCUCACAGAGGGCAGUGGGGAGAGCUGAACUUGGGGACACUGAGGAAGAAGGACAAAUGGACUUGUCUCUACUGGGGAAGAAAAGGAGGAAGAGAAAAGCCAGGAGACACUUCCAGGGCACCUAGGCCAUGGUCACAGAGCAGAAACCCACGCCACCAGGGAGCCCCAAAGCUGAACAGAAAGAGAGCAUGAGCUGUCGUCAACACAGGAAAAACCCAGGCUUCCUGUUUGAACUCGGGCAGACACAGGACCUGAAGGUUCCCAGCUAGCUCUGACCUGAAAGCCUCCUCACUGAAGACCAGCUUCCGUGGUACCUGAAGGUGCUGUGCAAGCCUCCAUGGGAAGAAAGAACCGACAGUCCUACCCAGCUGUGCUGCCUAUGAAUCAUAACAGCCAGCAUGGCACAAUAUCCCAAAGGGUACAGCAGUGGCGCCCAUACCUUGGCAGUAACCAACAGCUCUCUAAUUGGAUUGAAGGUGUGCUCAACAAGAGAGAAAUCAUGUCUGGUACUGAAAACUUAGCCAGCUUCAGCAUUAGUGGAGCCAUGGGUCUUGGGGGAGCGCCUACAGCCGCCACUUUACUAAAA